AGUCUCUGGAAAGGGAAUGUGGCUGGGGGAUAGCAGGUAUAGUAAGGAGAGAUGGUGCCUAUAGUAGCAGUAGUUGGAAUAGUAGGCUAAUGUUGUUCCUGAACAUGUUGCAUCAAACUAAAUAUCACGCUGCCUGUGGCUGAAACAAUGCUAAGAAUUUAGGGAUCCAGGCCAAUAAUCGCUGUUGGUUGGGUGAAUUUGAGCUCUCAAAGUCAGAGCAUAAACAACGGAAGUCCAAUAAGAUGUAUUUAUAUGUGAAGGCAAGUGACAACAUCAAUACUGUAAGUGUUAAGGGAGAGAACAGGUUUCAAUCCUAAUUCUGUGAGCUCCUGGGGGAUGCAGCUGUUGUAACAUAUCGCUUUCUAAAAAAAAAAACCAUGUAGGCUGUGCAUGCCCCUGGUCUAUGUCAGCUGUGAUAAGCUGAGAGCCUGUGACAUAGGACAGAUAGAGAGGAGCAUUGAUAAGGCGACACAUUGCCAAGUGUGGGCCACAUAAGAGCUGGGUGAGGGAGCAGUCAGUACUCAGCGGAUGCUCAUGGACCGGAGAGCCAUACCCUUCUUCUUCAAUGUCUGAUUCAUGUACAGCAAGGAAGCCUUUUCCUACUUUAUUUCUGGUAAAUGUGUCAUUCCUGGGUGGCAACUCAGAGCAGUAAUUAGUCAACAUUCAACCAGCCCAAGGUUCAAAGAAGGUGCUAAGGUUCAGCCCACAGCAGAUCAUACAAUGGAACAAAAGAUGUCUUGUAAAAGGAAGGUCAUAGACGAUCAUAUGAUGUAGUUCAAGAUAACUAGGAAAGGGAAAAUGAUACAGUUCAGUUCCUAGCAGAAUAUACAAUGUAGCUCAAGAUGUCUUGUAGAAGGACAAUUAUACAGUUCAGCCCAUAGCAGAAUAUACAAUGUAGCUCAAGACAUCUUGUAGAUGGAAGAUGAUACAGUUCAACCAAUAGCAGAUCAGAGAGUGUAGCAUAAGAUGUCUUGUAGAAGGAAGGUGCACUGCUCAGGUUCAGCCCAUAGCACAUUGUAUUAUGUAUCCUGUAGAAGGAAGAUAAUACAGUUCAGCCCAUAGCAGCUAAUACAAUAUAGCUCAAGAUAUUAUGUAGAAGGAAGGUGAUACAGUUCACAGCAAUUUGUUGAUGUAGGGCAAAACAAAUAUACAGUUUAUACAUAUAUGCAAGAGCUAUAGAUGUGUUACAAGGUUUAUUGACACUUAUUUAUUAUAAAAUGUAUUAGGGACCUUAUAUUAAAAUAUGGGGAUAUCAGAAGUCAUCCCAAGAUUCUGUGACCAGUAUAAAAAAAGCAUUCACACCUAUUUAGAAGUAACCAACACUUGUGGGUGCUAGGGUGCCACAUGCCAUGACUAAGUGACUGUUCUAGGUUUAUUAUCAUUAGUCUUUUAAUGGAGGAGGGAAUUCUGUAUGUAUAGAAAUCAGGUAUACAAGUAUACUCUAUAGUGUAUACCAGUUUAGCAUGCCACUGUCCUACCAUCAUCACCGCUAAUCUUCCUCUCAUGUCUGCUCUUCUCUGAGGAUCUGCUCUCUCUCUAUCUGUACAUCCAGCUCAGACUCUUUAUUUCCUGAUAAAGUCUGCAUUUCUCUCUGUAUUGCUAUAAUAUAUUCUGUGUGUCACUCUGCAGUGCUAUGUUAUAAUCUUCUCUAAACUUGUGUAUAUAUAUAUAUAUUCUGCACUGCUCUCUGUAAUGCUCAUAUAGAUAUUCUGCAUUCCUCUCCGGAAGCCUGUUUCCCAUUCAACUCUGCAUUUCUCUAGAAGCCUCCCACCUGUUCCUUACUGCAUUCCUCUGUGUACACCUGUUCUCUGACUAUAUUUCUCUUUGUGAAACUUUAUUUCUCCAUUAAAUCUUUCAUCUCUCUCUUUAAAA
Xenopus laevis (African clawed frog) is the source of this 1872-nucleotide long non-coding RNA. RefSeq lists it as uncharacterized. The record is from RefSeq and is a predicted model, not a curated record. The transcript is spliced from 2 exons. Lineage: Eukaryota; Metazoa; Chordata; Amphibia; Anura; Pipidae.